Molecule: ribosomal RNA, 460 nt
Filed under: uncultured bacterium
Lineage: Bacteria
Description: partial 16S ribosomal RNA
Rfam family: Bacterial small subunit ribosomal RNA
Source: RNAcentral
CCUACGGGUGGCAGCAGUGAGGAAUAUUGGUCAAUGGGCGAGAGCCUGAACCAGCCAAGUCGCGUGAAGGAUGACGGCCCUACGGGUUGUAAACUUCUUUUGUCAGGGAGCAAUUGAGUCCACGUGUGGUCUUAGCGAGAGUACCUGAAGAAAAAGCAUCGGCUAACUCCGUGCCAGCAGCCGCGGUAAUACGGAGGAUGCGAGCGUUAUCCGGAUUUAUUGGGUUUAAAGGGUGCGUAGGCGGAAUAUCAAGUCAGCGGUAAAAAUUCGGGGCUCAACCUCUUCGAGCCGUUGAAACUGGUUUUCUUGAGUGAGCGAGAAGUAUGCGGAAUGCGUGGUGUAGCGGUGAAAUGCAUAGAGAUCACGCAGAACUCCGAUUGCGAAGGCAGCAUACCGGCGCUCAACUGACGCUCAUGCACGAAAGUGUGGGUAUCGAACAGGAUUAGAUACCCCUGUAGUC